AUGGUUGUGGCUCAGUGGUAGAGCACUUGCCUAGCAUGUGUGAGGCACUGGGUUCAAUUCUCAGCACCACA
Molecule: transfer RNA, 71 nt
Filed under: Marmota marmota marmota (Alpine marmot)
Lineage: Eukaryota; Metazoa; Chordata; Mammalia; Rodentia; Sciuridae
Also listed under: 2 other names
Rfam family: tRNA
About the family: Transfer RNA (tRNA) molecules are approximately 80 nucleotides in length. Their secondary structure includes four short double-helical elements and three loops (D, anti-codon, and T loops).
Source: Rfam by way of RNAcentral